Molecule: transfer RNA, 73 nt
Filed under: Ailuropoda melanoleuca (giant panda)
Lineage: Eukaryota; Metazoa; Chordata; Mammalia; Carnivora; Ursidae
Also listed under: 1 other name
Rfam family: tRNA
About the family: Transfer RNA (tRNA) molecules are approximately 80 nucleotides in length. Their secondary structure includes four short double-helical elements and three loops (D, anti-codon, and T loops). Further hydrogen bonds mediate the characteristic L-shaped molecular structure. tRNAs have two regions of fundamental functional importance: the anti-codon, which is responsible for specific mRNA codon recognition, and the 3' end, to which the tRNAs corresponding amino acid is attached (by aminoacyl-tRNA synthetases). tRNAs cope with the degeneracy of the genetic code in two manners: having more than one tRNA (with a specific anti-codon) for a particular amino acid; and 'wobble' base-pairing, i.e. permitting non-standard base-pairing at the 3rd anti-codon position.
Source: Rfam by way of RNAcentral
ACCUGGCUGGCUCAGUCAGUAGAGCAUGCGACUCUUGAUCUUGGGAUUGUGAGUUCAAGCCCCAUGUCAGGUA